GAUGGUUAAUGUCUUAGUGGGAUUGGCACACUCUCCUGUCCCAUGGCUUCUAUAGUCCCCCAAAAUGCAGAAUGUUAAUUAUAUAGAUAACACUUCUUCUUCUUCUUGCCACUUCACGAGGUACAAUAUGUUGAGCAGGAAAGGAAAUGUGAUCUCUGCCCUCUCUGAUGGUGUCAACUGUAAUUCAAGAGUUGACUUGAAGGAUUAUUUUUGAGGUAGGUGAGUCCAGCAAAGUGUCUGUCUGCUUUAGGAAAGCACGAGAGUUAACCUGCCUGGGUUGUAGCCACAUGAUCUGCUUCAGGUGCAUGUCUCCAUGGGGAUGGACUGUGCUGACCUAACAGGAGGGUGCUUCAGUUAGGAAACCCACCUGGAGGCAGCCCAUCCUUCAGCCAGGUGAUGAUUCCUGCAAGGGAAGGGGGGGAUGUGUAAAGAAGCAGCUCUCUCCUUCUCUUUCCAUGGUGGGUCAAGCAAGUUGUUCAUUUCAGAAGCCAUUCCAACCAGGCCUAUCUGCUCCAGGAUACAGGCUCUGAGGAAAGCCUGUUGUGUGCAGCCUGUUUUUGUCAUCCAUGGGACCUGACAGCAAAUCCAGCAUGAGAAUAUGGAGAAUUCACAUGUGGAGAAUGCAGCCACUAGGAGCUGAAACAUCAUCCCAGGCUCCCUUCACAUCAACCACUGGUCCUCCAGCCAAAUAUUUUAUCAUGAGCUUGGCCUAAAUGAAAGGCAGUCUGCUAAAAGGAGAAGAUUCCAGAUCCACAAUGACAAACACUGAGUGGCUGAUAUUUUGGCAACGUUAUUCAGCUAUUCAGUGAUGAUUGCUGUAGAGCCAUAACAUUUAAAACCUCACAGGUGAAUUUUGCCUAGGGGACAAACAUUUUCUUGUACACUUCAGAGAGAACUGAAACUCAGCAUGAAAUAAUCUCAAAGAAAUAAAGAAAGUUUUCUUAGUGAAG
RNAcentral lists this long non-coding RNA (950 nucleotides) under Cyanistes caeruleus (blue tit). Its description in RNAcentral is "lncRNA (ENSCCEG00000016039.1)". The record is from RNAcentral. Lineage: Eukaryota; Metazoa; Chordata; Aves; Passeriformes; Paridae.